GACAGAGGGUGCAAACGUUGCUCGGAAUUACUGGGCGUAAAGCGCGUGUAGGCGGACCACCAAGUCGGACGUGAAAGCCCUGAGCUCAACUCAGGAACUGCAUCCGAAACUGGCGGUCUGGAGUAGUGGAGAGGAAAGCAGAAUUCCUGGUGUAGAGGUGAAAUUCGUAGAUAUCGAGAGGAACACCGGUGGCGAAGGCGGCCUUCUGGACAGUGACUGACGCUGAGACGCGAAAGCGUGGGGAGCAAACAGG
This 253-nucleotide ribosomal RNA is filed under the name uncultured bacterium. RNAcentral's name for it is "partial 16S ribosomal RNA". It matches the Rfam family "Bacterial small subunit ribosomal RNA", at positions 524 to 776 of the family's 1533-position model. The record is from RNAcentral.